Molecule: long non-coding RNA, 2559 nt
Organism: Wyeomyia smithii (pitcher-plant mosquito)
Lineage: Eukaryota; Metazoa; Arthropoda; Insecta; Diptera; Culicidae
Exons: 2
Source: RefSeq, a predicted model, not a curated record
AAUCGUUCCAGCCUUUGGCCGGUUUUCUCGAGUGGAAAUACAUGCGAAGACAUAUUUUCGUGAAGCGUGUUAACAUUUGAAACAAUGACCUGGCAUCCCUGCUGAUGCAAACGAACACAGAUGACACUUUCGAUUUGACGAUCAUAAAUCUGAAAAAUAUUGGUAAAAAAUAUUUGAGAAUUUGCUACCGGUCAUCGAAAUUUUGGUCGAAAUUCGAAUCACAUUACCGAACAUAAAUGAAAUGCGGAAGAUGACGUGUUGCAAAAUAAUCGCAAACCGCUGAAAAAAUUUUCCAUCAAACAGCAGAAACCGGUUCAUGUUCUCGAAAAUGUAUUUUUACACAAAAAGUAAACCAACCAGUUCAUAAAGGUUCUGAAAAUUUACGAUUCCCCGGGAACAAUUUUCUGCGCGAUUCAGUUAUAGCAACCUGCCGCUGAAGGAAUUUUUUUGUACAAUUUUCUAAACGAAACCAACGCUAACGAUGAUGAAGACGGAUGGCUAUUCGGACGCUACUUGCUUACGAGAUGCAAGAUUGUGCCAAGAAAAAGAAACUUAUUACCCGAUCUAAAAUGUAGAAACUCGAAGGGGCCACAACCGUUGUUGGAAGUCGCGACACAAAAAAACAGCGCACCGGGAAGGUGUAGGGGAAAGUAGGUAAAGACGGACACUGCGGGUAAGAUGGACAUUUUUAAUAUUUCACAAACUAGAAUGUAUUAUGAUAGUUGAGUGAAGCGAAUACCUUCUUUAUAGUUUGUUAAUGCGUUUGAGUUGCAUUAUCGGUUUUCAGCAAGCAAACUGUCAAAUUUGUAAGUAAAACAAAGAAUAUUUUCGUGAACGCGCAAUUUGAUGUAAUUUUUAUUCCACGGAAAAUAGUGAAAAACUCGUGAAAUUUACGUGUUUUCAUUUGUUCACAAUAGUAAAGUGAUUAAUUAGUCUUUCCUCGGUUUUCUAGUGAAAAUCCAGCAGAUUUUCGAUGUUCCGAUGAAGAGCUUCGAUCGUUUGAAAAAUUUACUACCAGGUCGGGCAAGACGGACACACUAUGGUAGGGAAAGAUGGACACACGGAUUUUCUAAGAAUUUUCACAUGUAGCAUCUGUUGUGUACUACAGAUGUUCACAAAGUACACCCGCGAGAGAAACCAGCAGAUAUUAAUCACUUAGCAGUUAGAACAGGCCAAAUAGGCGGAGAAUUUUCGCCUCCAUCGAAACCCAUCCUCUCAAACUGUUCACGUGAUGUAUAGAUGAACUCUAAUAACGCAGCGUAAUGUAUAGCCAUCACUUAACACAUAAAUCAAAAGAAUGCUUAACGUACUUAACGUACUACAUCUUUUUUGUGAGUGUCCACCUUUACCUUCGUAGUGUCCAUCUUACCCACCCCAAGUGUCCAUCUUUUCCAACCAUGUCAAAAAACAGCAAUUUGUAGUCUUAUUUUUGAAGACCCAAAACACAUAAAACUUGGGGAAGUUCACUAAUACCAAAAAUGAUUAUGAAAACAAAUGACUUUAAGUUUCAAUUUGUAUGACUACUGCGAUCUAAAUAGCAAUACCUAAGUAAUUAUUUAGAUUAAACUUUAGAGUGUCCGUCUUUACCUACUUUCCCCUAUAAUUAUUAAACACGCAGUCGUUUUGUACACCCAAUAGUCGCACAAAACCUUACGAAUAAGCGCUGCUAGUAGAAUAAUUUCCAUUGCUACCAGUCAGUAGAUAUCAUCGGUCCAAUCGUGCUGUGGUUACCAGUUUGCUAGAUCAACUUGGUCAUGAUGGGACACCUGAUCCUUUUUGCUCAGUAGCCAGUUAUUCGUGUUGCAUCCGCACAUCGAAUGCCUUCGAGAAACAUAUACAAGCUGGUUGCAGCGCAUCGUGAAGCUGAACCGUGACGCUAUUUGCUUGUCAUCGGCAUACAGCUGCCAUUGUGGGUGAUAUUGUUCACCAAUCGGUGCCUUUAGAGUCGUGAUAUAAAAUAUCCUCUAAUUUCAAGCGUUUCCGAGAAGUACUCCUGUCCGAGCCCGACGCAGCCCACCCGGGGCUCUAAUAGUAUCGCACCGUAUUGGUCGGGUUGGAAUUCUUCCGAUCAAUAUUAGCACCAGUCGAGUCGAACCACUUGUGGGUGCGAUUCGUCAGACAGAAAAGGGCCCUUGGUGUUGUUUCUGAUAAGAUCAGACCAUUCGGGUUACAUCCCAGUGCUCGGUUGCGUUACAGUAGAACAAGGCAUCAGGGUUCACCAGGUCUAAGGUGCAUUCGCACUCGCCAGUUCGGGUGUGAAAAAAUUCUGGAGCCGCACAAUAACUGCCCUGUCAUGCAAUUCGCAUGACAAUUAUAGACUGGCGUCUUGUUUGCAAAAGAAAUUAUAAGGCCAACUUAACUAUAUGUUGGACUUGUGGGACAGCAAGAAAGAACUUGUUGGCUUAUCGGAUGAUAAUGUUCGUUCGUGGCUAGAGCCGGAAAUCGUCUUUAAAAGGGAACUUCAAACCUCCCCGUAGUUCAAGAGAUUUCACCAAGAAGACUAAUGAAUAAAAUGAAAUUCCAAAUCAUUUUGUCAAUAAAAUUAUGUUUGCAACCCGA